RNAcentral lists this ribosomal RNA (302 nucleotides) under uncultured bacterium. RNAcentral's name for it is "partial 16S ribosomal RNA". It matches the Rfam family "Bacterial small subunit ribosomal RNA", at positions 508 to 807 of the family's 1533-position model. The record is from RNAcentral.
GCAGUAGCCGCGGUAAUACGUAGGUGGCAAGCGUUGUCCGGAAUUAUUGGGCGUAAAGGGCUUGCAGGCGGUUUCUUAAGUCUGAUGUGAAAGCCCCCGGCUCAACCGGGGAGGGUCAUUGGAAACUGGGAAACUUGAGUGCAGAAGAGGAGAGUGGAAUUCCACGUGUAGCGGUGAAAUGCGUAGAGAUGUGGAGGAACACCAGUGGCGAAGGCGACUCUCUGGUCUGUAACUGACGCUGAGAAGCGAAAGCGUGGGGAGCGAACAGGAUUAGAUACCCCAGUAGUCCCUGUCUCUUAUAC